GGAGCUAUAGCUCAGUGGCAAAGUGCUUGCCAAGCAUGCAGGAGAUCCUGGUUUGAUCCCAGUAUCCCUC
RNAcentral lists this transfer RNA (70 nucleotides) under Marmota monax (woodchuck). RNAcentral describes it as "tRNA.Ala". Lineage: Eukaryota; Metazoa; Chordata; Mammalia; Rodentia; Sciuridae. The record is from RNAcentral.